CCUAUUCUCUAGGCACAUCAAUCAGUGUUGUAAUCUUAAUAAGCUUUUGGUCCGAGGCUUUGGAUUGAAAGUGCUACAAUGGCGCCUGUGAGAACCACUGGCACUAUUGUGGCUACUGCUGUUGCUAUCUCACUCUCAAUGGCGGUGCUCUCUUACUUUUGGUCAGAGACCAACUUUCCAUUCCAAAGACGAAGAAUUAGAAGUUCAGAACUGGGCUUACUGAUGCCAUUGGAAACGCACCUUUGAUUCGCAUCAACAGCCUUUCUGAAGACACUGGUUCCGAGAAAUGGUGGCUUGAAGAAAUCGGGUGCAGAUGUUAGGACGGCUUGGUGGUGGAGUUCCAGAUUGUCCACAACCUUCUGUCCCCUACCCCGGUUGUUUAGUGAUGAGGUCAGAUGGAUCCUCCCAGGUGAUGACUUCUAUAAGAUAAACAUCAUGUGGCAGUGUUCAAGCAACACAAUGAAGCAGAGAUUGGGGUUAGUGUUGGUUUUUAUUUUCUUUGCAUUCGUGGCUCUAUGCAGGCUUUGAAAUCUGGGAAACUAGCUCAACGGGAAUGAAAGAUCUUCAAUCUAAUUCAAGUUAUUAUUUCAUUUUA
Long non-coding RNA from Quercus lobata, 595 nucleotides. RefSeq lists it as uncharacterized. The transcript has 2 exons. NCBI's taxonomy places the organism in Eukaryota, Viridiplantae, Streptophyta, Magnoliopsida, Fagales, Fagaceae. The record is from RefSeq and is a predicted model, not a curated record.